RNAcentral lists this ribosomal RNA (253 nucleotides) under uncultured bacterium. RNAcentral describes it as "partial 16S ribosomal RNA". It matches the Rfam family "Bacterial small subunit ribosomal RNA", at positions 524 to 776 of the family's 1533-position model. The record is from RNAcentral.
UACGGGGGGGGCAAGCGUUGUUCGGAAUUACUGGGCGUAAAGGGCGCGUAGGCGGUUCGCUAAGUUGAAUGUGAAAACUCUGGGCUUAACCCAGAGCCUGCAUUCAAUACUGGCGGGCUAGAGUUCUGGAGGGGAUAGCGGAAUUCCUGGUGUAGCGGUGAAAUGCGUAGAUAUCAGGAGGAACACCGGUGGCGAAGGCGGCUAUCUGGACAGAGUCUGACGCUGAGGCGCGAAAGCGUGGGGAGCAAACAGG